This 642-nucleotide ribosomal RNA is filed under the name Lepiota ochraceodisca. RNAcentral's name for it is "eukaryotic LSU rRNA". The stretch from base 248 to 401 matches the Rfam family "5.8S ribosomal RNA". Lineage: Eukaryota; Fungi; Basidiomycota; Agaricomycetes; Agaricales; Agaricaceae. The record is from RNAcentral.
GUGAACCUGCGGAAGGAUCAUUAUUGAAUAACUAUGGUGGGUUGUUGCUGGCUUCUUGAAGCAUGUGCACACCUGCUGUCUUUAUCUAUCCCACUGUGCACCACUUGUAGUCUUGGAAGGGGUAGAGCAGUCAACUCUCCCUAGUGUGAGUUUUGUGUCUCCCUUCCAGUUCUAUGUCUUUUCCACAGACGUUGUAGCAUGUCAUAGAAUGUAAUCAAAGGACCUUUGUGUCUAUAGAACUUUAUACAACUUUCAGCAACGGAUCUCUUGGCUCUCGCAUCGAUGAAGAACGCAGCGAAAUGCGAUAAGUAAUGUGAAUUGCAGAAUUCAGUGAAUCAUCGAAUCUUUGAACGCACCUUGCGCUUCUUGGCAUUCCGAGGAGCAUGCCUGUUUGAGUGUCAUUAAAUUCUCAAUCCCCUUCCAGUUCUUUGUAAGCUGGUUGUGGUUUGGAUAUUGGGGGCUUCUGCAGGCCUUGUUAUGUUGAGGUCAGCUCCCCUGAAAUACAUUAGCAGAACUGUUUGCGGUCUGUCACUGGUGUGAUAAUUAUCUGCACCAAGGACUGCUUUCUGUCUUGUUCAGCUUCUAACCGUCUUUUUGGGACAACUAUUGAACAUUUGACCUCAAAUCAGGUAGGACUACCCG